GGGGGAGGGACAGAGAGAAAGGGAGAGAGAAUCCCAAAGAGGCUCCAUGCUGUUGGUGCAGAGCCUGACAUGGGGCUCGAACUCUCAAACUGUGAGAUCAUGACCUGAGCAGAAAUCAGGAGUUGGAUGGAUGAUGAACUGGCUGAGCCACCCAGGUGCCCCUUUAUUCCUUUUAAAGAAAAGAAUCCCUUGUACUCUAGACCUGUUUCUCUCCCCUUACUUUUCUGUUACAACUUCCUUGUCUUUAGUCCCUUCUCUAUGAGACCAGAUAUUCCUGGUUAUGAUUUGAGAUGUUCUAAGCAAGUUGCUAUUGUAAUUCAACAGAGGACUCAUGGAAACAGUACAGAUUGGAUCGAAAGCAGCAAAAAACCCGAUGAUGGUGUUUCAGGCAAGGAAAGUGGAUAAGCAACUGAGGGAAUGUAAAAGUUGCUAAAGGCAGCAUUUCGAGACAACGGAGAUGCUCACACCUUGGACCUGUGUGUCUAGGUUCAGGGACAGAAGUUUAUCGAAUGUGUCUUUAGCUCAGCAACAUAGAACAAGGGCUGAUUUCUACCGUUUACCCCUCACUGGACUUCACUUGAACUUACAGCGCUCCCCAGUGAUGCUACAGAUAUUAAACUUAUGGUUCCUGCUUCCUUCCUCUGAUUUCUUUUAUCUCCACACAAUACUUAAUUUUUAUGGGGAUUGGCCAUCUUAGUGGCUUAUGAAAUGAGAGAUGGCUUUGGCCAGAAGGUAUAAACAAGGCUUACUGUUUGAAGCUUCGCUAUUUGUAUUUGAGUUAUUUUCCUGGUCACAGACACAGACUUGCAGUGAUUCGUCAUUCAUUCAUUGCCCUGAGCCCCCAGCCCCUCGAAGGAAUGUAAUCCAAAUUUCCUCAAGCUGCUGACUUUCCACAGAUAGGGGGACUCAAGUGCCCCUGCUCAGGCCACUAGCUGUGUAAUGAAUGACUUCCGUUUUUGCUCAGACUUCCACCAAGCUAUUGCUAGGAGCCUCUGGGGCUGCCAUAUGAGAUCAUGAGCGCUGUUUCCACUUUGGACUGUCUUGUCAGCACCUGGGAUUUGAGGGCAGACCUCAUUGCUUCCAUUAUACAGCGUCCGAUGCACCCCAGAUCGUAAACCCUGUGGCGCCUGUGGCCCCUGGCCCAUCUGCAUUUCUUUCUGCACCUAAACCUAAACCACCCACGAUCUACACAGAGGUGAAGCUAUGCGUGAUGUGAUGGCACAGGCCCUUCUCCCCCGCAGGGGUCUCUGAGCCUCCCAGGGUCCCUCCUGCAUACGGCAUCUUGACUCUUAUCUGUAGCCUUCUCCCGAUGCCUCAGAUAUGAGCCCACAGGGUUGGCUGUGGUCAGUAUCAGACGUGGACUCUCCAGCAGUCUAUACGACAUGCCCAGACCACCGUGAAUCCCGUGAGUGGGUGCAAAUUAGUGCGAAAUUUGGACCCCAGCCUCUCAUGUAAUUUUCAGAUGAUUUUCAGACAGAUCCAGCUCAAGGCUUAAAGUGAAGUGAUGUUUACAUUCAGUGGAAUGCACUGCUUUUGGCUCUCUAUCCUGGCUACCAGAAGGGCUGUCCCUGACCCAAAGCGUCUGUGCCUCUGGGAGCUUGUUAGAAAUGCCCAGUCUCAGGCUCCAGCCCAGACCUACUAAAUGCAAACUUGCCUUUUAACCAGAUCCCCAGGUGAUUUACAUGCACACUGAAGUCUGAGAAGCACUGCUGUAUAUCAUAACUGACAGAUCAGACCGUACUUAGGAAAUGGUGCUAAAGUGAUUUUCCAGAUCUGGGGAGCCCCUCAGCAUAGAACAUUGCAAGUAAAUCCAGUGAUUGCUUGCUAUUAAAUACCUAUAGAGCAUUUUUUCUGUCUUUACGUACUCUUUCAUUUGAAUUCAGAUUUUAUUUUGGGAUUUUUGAUAUUCAUGUUAGUCAAUAAUGGAGGUUGAUAUUGUGUAUUAACUUGAAUUCUCCCUCCCUUCCAUUCUUCUUGGGUUAAGAACUCUGAUAAUAGAAGGGAACUAUAGACCUGACAUUCAAGGAAAAUCCAGAAAAUGAAUUCUUUUUUAUCUUCAGGCAGAGCAGCUCCAAUGAAUAGAGAAGUGUAAUAAAGCCUUUUUAUAUGCCUGUCA
RNAcentral lists this long non-coding RNA (2116 nucleotides) under Felis catus (domestic cat). Its description in RNAcentral is "lncRNA (ENSFCAG00000053805.1)". The record is from RNAcentral. Lineage: Eukaryota; Metazoa; Chordata; Mammalia; Carnivora; Felidae.